UUCGCUCUUUGAGGGAUGCCGGCUGAGCUGAAGAAGAUUUGCCGCACCCAUGCUGCCCUCAAGUUCCUCUUUAUUUAUAGUACUAUUCCAGAGCUCAGUGUGCAGCCCACUGUAUCAAGUCCUAGACCAGCCAACGAAAGCUGCGUUGAACCUAUCCUGCAGCAGAAACACUGGUGAAGAAGCCUGGAGAAACAGAGGCCUGCAGUACCCAGUAACUAACCAGGCUGCACGAAUGGAGCAUGAGAACACCCUACAGCCUGUUAUUUGCUGCAUGUUUCUACGGGCACCAGCAAAGCACAACUUCUAGUAAUGGGAUCAGUAACCCAAGUGACGGAACUGAAAAGGUAUGAAAGCUAAUCUUUGAAGACACACUUAAUCAGCGAAAUGGUGAUUGUUGAAGGAGAAUUGUGGCCUGAUGCGCUAAUUUCUAAGUUAAAAAGGAACAUCAUUUUCGCAACAAUAAAGUAGUGAUCUGCCCUUCCACGCAGUGUUAAGACACUUCCCACAACUCCUUCACCCUUCUCAUUUAGGUAAGUACUAAAAUAAACAGGAAAAGGGAACUGUACCUCUUAUACCUAUGCAACUGGCCCAGUGAAUUGAUUUCAAGUUUGCAUUUGUGAGAAAAAAAAAAAGAUGACUUCCUUAUUUAUAUUUUAGUGGGCAC
This 664-nucleotide long non-coding RNA is filed under the name Homo sapiens (human). RNAcentral describes it as "HSALNT0193282". The record is from RNAcentral. Lineage: Eukaryota; Metazoa; Chordata; Mammalia; Primates; Hominidae.